UCUUUUGCUACCCGCUAUACAAGAAGCCAUUAGAAUAUUUCACACCGCAUCCAUCAUUAAAAUUUCUUGUUUUCUUAAGUCAUAACUUAAAAUUUUAAGUGAUGAUGAUCCCGAUCAUAUGAGAAUGAUUGGACUGGGUAAUAUUUUCUGCAUUUAUUAUGUUAUUUUUAAAUCAAAACGAACCAUUGAUGUAUGCGUUCCGAGACUGUCCAGUGAUGCGUUAGCUAAGUGCCUUGUUAAAGUACAACAGCAAAAUGGAUCGAAAACAAGAAUCAUAAUCCACAAGAGCAACGACCUACGAAAUUUACAAUUGUUUACUCUAAACAAAAUAGAAGUGAAACUUAUAAAAUCAGAAGUUCGCCUGGAGCAUGAGUUUAUAGUAAUCGAUUCCUCAGAACCGAACGCCAUGAUUUUGCUGGGAAACGUUUGUUGUGGGGGAUGCUGGGAUAAAAUGGAGUGUUUCAAUAAAGCCCCCACAAUAUUGUCUUCGGAAAAAUCUUUAGUAGGUGCUAUGAAACAAGAAUUUGACAGAAUAUGGAAUUCAGAAUCAUACUAGUAAUGACAUUUUUUUUAUUAUAAAUAUUGUUUAAGUUUAUAAUAUGUAAUCUUAUUUUUGUUUGUAGAUUAAUAAUUUGGAAAUAAAACACGUAAAUUAACAAAA
Molecule: long non-coding RNA, 661 nt
Organism: Bombyx mori (domestic silkworm)
Lineage: Eukaryota; Metazoa; Arthropoda; Insecta; Lepidoptera; Bombycidae
Exons: 2
Source: RefSeq, a predicted model, not a curated record